AUUUCUAGUCUUAACAAAAACAAACUAGACCACUAAAAGUUAUUUUCUUCAAAUUUAAAGGAUUUGGCGGUGAUUUAGUCCAGUUAGAGGAACCUGUUUAAUAAACGAUAAACCACGCAAAAUCUUACCUACUCUUCUCUAAGCUUGUAUACCGUCAUUAUUAAAUUACUCCCACAGGAUUAGUUAUUUCAAUAAUCUUUUGUUCUUCAUAUAUUAGAUCAAGGUGCAGCCUAUGGGUAGGUUUCUAAUGGGUUACAAUAAACCUUAUUUAUACGGAUUUUUUAUUUAAAUAUUUUCUUCAAGGCGGAUUUAAUAGUAAAACUAGUUUAAUAAGCUACUUUGAUAAUGGAUCUAAAUUGAGUACAUAUCGCCCGUCGCUUUCAAUCAAAUGAAAUAAGUCGUAACAUAG
RNAcentral lists this ribosomal RNA (409 nucleotides) under Eucalliaxiopsis inaequimana. RNAcentral's name for it is "partial small subunit ribosomal RNA". Lineage: Eukaryota; Metazoa; Arthropoda; Malacostraca; Decapoda; Eucalliacidae. The record is from RNAcentral.